UAACUUCAUUUUGUUCUCUUUGUCCCUCUACCUUCCAUACAAUCUCUCUCCCUCACAAACAUAACAAACACACUUCACUUCUUCUUUACCCGAAUCCACUCUUCCCCAAAGAAGAAUCAUCAGAGCAAGGUUGAUCGAAAUGGAGAGGCUAAACUCGAAGCUGUUCAUACAAAACUGUUAUAUAAUAAAAGAGAACGAAAGAUUGAGGAAGAAGGCUCAGAUUCUGAAUCAAGAGAAUCAACAGCUUCUCUUUGAGCUCAAACAGAAGCUCUCUAAAACCAAGAACCCAAAUGGAUCAAAUCAAGAAAGCAACAACAGUCUCUCUUCAUCUGACUCUGCCUCCGGACAAUCCUAAUUCAACAAAACUCUUAGUAGGACAAGAUUUGGAUUUCGUAGACUGAAAAAAAAAAUCUUAAUGACCCUGCUUAAUUAGAAGAACCCAUCCUUUUAUUUUUUUGGUGUAAUGUAAGAAAAUAGUUAAGAGUAGUGGUUAGUGGUAGUAUUAUUAAUUGGUUUUCUUGUUUUUAAAUUUGUUUUAGUUUGUGGGUUCU
RNA transcript from Eutrema salsugineum, 551 nucleotides. It is a transcript of the gene named protein LITTLE ZIPPER 4, with no coding region annotated. Lineage: Eukaryota; Viridiplantae; Streptophyta; Magnoliopsida; Brassicales; Brassicaceae. The transcript has 2 exons. The record is from RefSeq and is a predicted model, not a curated record.